UGGGGAAUAUUGCACAAUGGAGGGAACUCUGAUGCAGCAACGCCGCGUGCGGGAUGACGGCCUUCGGGUUGUAAAGCUCUGUGAUCCGGGACGAAAGAGCCUGAGGUAAAUAGCCUAAGGAAGUGACGGUACCGGAAAAGCAAGCCACGGCUAACUACGUGCCAGCAGCCGCGGUAAUACGUAGGUGGCAAGCGUUGUCCGGAAUUAUUGGGCGUAAAGCGCGCGCAGGCGGCUUACUAAGUCCAUCUUAAAAGUGCGGGGCUUAACCCCGUGAUGGGAUGGAAACUGGAAAGCUGGAGUAUCGGAGAGGAAAGUGGAAUUCCUAGUGUAGCGGUGAAAUGCGUAGAGAUUAGGAAGAACACCGGUGGCGAAGGCGACUUUCUGGACGAAAACUGACGCUGAGGCGCGAAAGCGUGGGGAGCAAACAGG
RNAcentral lists this ribosomal RNA (429 nucleotides) under Fusobacteriota bacterium. RNAcentral's name for it is "Fusobacteria bacterium partial 16S ribosomal RNA". It matches the Rfam family "Bacterial small subunit ribosomal RNA", at positions 355 to 776 of the family's 1533-position model. Lineage: Bacteria; Fusobacteriati; Fusobacteriota. The record is from RNAcentral.